AACGAACGCUGGCGGCAGGCCUAACACAUGCCAGUCGAGCGCGCCUUCGGGUGAGCGGCGGACGGGUGAGUACCGCGUGGGAAUAUGCCCUUCUCUACGGAAUAGUCCUGGGAAACUGGGGGUAAUACCGUAUACGCCCUUUGGGGGAAAGGUUUAUCGGGGAAGGAUUAGCCCGCGUUGGAUUAGGUAGUUGGUGGGGUAAUGGCCUACCAAGCCGACGAUCCAUAGCUGGUUUGAGAGGAUGAUCAGCCACACUGGGACUGAGACACGGCCCAGAAUCCUACGGGAGGAAGCAGUGGGGAAUCUUAGACAAUGGGGGCAACCCUGAUCUAGCCAUGGCGCGUGAGUGAUGAAGGCCUUAGGGUUGUAAAGCUCUUUAAGCUGGGAAGAUAAUGACGGUACCAGCAGAAGAAGCCCCGGCUAACUCCGUG
RNAcentral lists this ribosomal RNA (431 nucleotides) under uncultured bacterium. Its description in RNAcentral is "partial 16S ribosomal RNA". It matches the Rfam family "Bacterial small subunit ribosomal RNA", at positions 29 to 507 of the family's 1533-position model. The record is from RNAcentral.